Transfer RNA from Felis catus (domestic cat), 85 nucleotides. It matches the Rfam family "tRNA". Rfam says of the family: Transfer RNA (tRNA) molecules are approximately 80 nucleotides in length. Their secondary structure includes four short double-helical elements and three loops (D, anti-codon, and T loops). Lineage: Eukaryota; Metazoa; Chordata; Mammalia; Carnivora; Felidae. The record is from Rfam.
GCCUGGGUGGCUCAGUUGGUUAAGCGUCUGACUUCAGCUCAGAUCAUGAUCUCACGGUUUGUAGGUUUGAGCCCUGCAUCAGGCU